Molecule: ribosomal RNA, 456 nt
Filed under: Ilyonectria destructans
Lineage: Eukaryota; Fungi; Ascomycota; Sordariomycetes; Hypocreales; Nectriaceae
Description: eukaryotic LSU rRNA
Rfam family: 5.8S ribosomal RNA (bases 124-277)
Source: RNAcentral
UCCCAAACCCCUGUGAACAUACCAUAUUGUUGCCUCGGCGGUGCCUGUUUCGGCAGCCCGCCAGAGGACCCAAACCCUAGAUUACAUUAAAGCAUUUUCUGAGUCAAUGAUUAAAUCAAUCAAAACUUUCAACAACGGAUCUCUUGGUUCUGGCAUCGAUGAAGAACGCAGCGAAAUGCGAUAAGUAAUGUGAAUUGCAGAAUUCAGUGAAUCAUCGAAUCUUUGAACGCACAUUGCGCCCGCCAGUAUUCUGGCGGGCAUGCCUGUCCGAGCGUCAUUUCAACCCUCAAGCCCCCGGGCUUGGUGUUGGAGAUCGGCGAGCCCCCCGGGGCGCGCCGUCUCCCAAAUAUAGCGGCGGUCCCGCUGUAGCUUCCUCUGCGUAGUAGCACACCUCGCACUGGGAAACAGCGUGGCCACGCCGUAAAACCCCCCACUUCUGAAAGGUUGACCUCGGAU